UGCAAGUCGAGCGGACAGAAGGGAGCUUGCUCCCGGAUGUUAGCGGCGGACGGGUGAGUAACACGUGGGUAACCUGCCUGUAAGACUGGGAUAACUCCGGGAAACCGGAGCUAAUACCGGAUAGUUCCUUGAACCGCAUGGUUCAAGGAUGAAAGACGGUUUCGGCUGUCACUUACAGAUGGACCCGCGGCGCAUUAGCUAGUUGGUGGGGUAAUGGCUCACCAAGGCGACGAUGCGUAGCCGACCUGAGAGGGUGAUCGGCCACACUGGGACUGAGACACGGCCCAGACUCCUACGGGAGGCAGCAGUAGGGAAUCUUCCGCAAUGGACGAAAGUCUGACGGAGCAACGCCGCGUGAGUGAUGAAGGUUUUCGGAUCGUAAAGCUCUGUUGUUAGGGAAGAACAAGUGCGAGAGUAACUGCUCGCACCUUGACGGUACCUAACCAGAAAGC
RNAcentral lists this ribosomal RNA (452 nucleotides) under Bacillus sp. LT36. RNAcentral describes it as "bacterial SSU rRNA". It matches the Rfam family "Bacterial small subunit ribosomal RNA", at positions 56 to 491 of the family's 1533-position model. The record is from RNAcentral. Lineage: Bacteria; Bacillati; Bacillota; Bacilli; Caryophanales; Bacillaceae.